Molecule: non-coding RNA, 3026 nt
Organism: Rhopilema esculentum
Lineage: Eukaryota; Metazoa; Cnidaria; Scyphozoa; Rhizostomeae; Rhizostomatidae
Source: RefSeq, a predicted model, not a curated record
ACUUUAGUUGUUAUAUCUUAAGACUUAUUUUAGCUGUUUUUGUCAAUUGUUUGUGGGAAUUCUUCGUUAUUGGAAAUAUAGUGCAUUUGGUUAAAUUAAGCCUUUAAUUCAAAGCUGAACACUCUUGUAAAAAUGCGCCUACGUGUUAUAUAAGAAAUCGCUCAAAGCUGUUUUUAAAAUGGUCUAAACAGAAACAUAUACAGAAAAACUCUUUUGCUUUGUUACGUCAACAUUCUACAUUUUUGGCAUGUUUUCUAAAUAUUCAUUUGAAAAUUAUUGAUUUCCUCAAAUACUAUUUAACGAAACAACCCAUUCUGGAAAAUUAAUCCAUUCAACCUGCAGAAAGCAGUUUCUGAUUUCACACAAUGUAUUGCAGAGUUUGGUUAAUGUAGUUAGCAACCUUAGUAAAAGAUAUAGCUAGAUAUUUGUUUAAGAUUGUGUAACUUAGUCGGAAUAAAGAUCCCUUCUUACUUCAUGAAGAGGGGUAGUGGACAAGGCGAAGUGGCAGCUUUCAGAAAUACAGUUAAUAGAGACUCGUAGAAACCUAUGGACAAUGCGGUAUUCUGUAACGCUUUGAAAAUAUAACGCUUUUAUUGCGAUUAUUUUCCCCUAUAAUGUUUCUGCAUCGAAAACUAUGCGAUUAUAUUAAAUCUCCCGAAUUGGUUUCUUACAGGAAAUGGCCUUGAGUGCAAUUUUUCAUCGCCUUAUUCAGUCUCAUAUUUCAGUGGUCGUUAACAUGUUUGCUUUAAUUCCAAGCAUGAAAUACAAGGAGAUAAAUCUCUCAAACUGACGUAUGUCUUUCCUUGUACUGUUGUUGUCUACUGUACUUGGAAUUCUAUACAAAACACUGAAAGAACUUAACGCCAUUUUUAGGUCCUCCACUCCAUUUAGCCCAUGAAACCAUCGUAUGUUUACAUUCCAAAAAUGUUUACACCCCUGUCAAGGCGACAUAUCUGGCCCUCGAUUGCUUAACAUUGCCCCAGGUUGUAGGUAAUGGAAUGCUUCAAUAUUCGGGCACUGACUCGAAAAAUGGAUUGGAUAGGGCUGAUAUGGGUCUAAGAAAUAAUUAAUAAGACAUUGCUCUGUUUUGAGACCAAUCGAAUUGCUGUUUUCUACAUUAUGAUCAACGUUAGGAGAAAUUAGCAAGGAAGGAACUCUUUUAAAAGGAGAAAUUUGCAAGAAAAGCCAUAAGUUUCUCGAGGGGAAAAUGGCUCUAUGAAAAUCUCGAAAAGAUUUGGUAAAAAUCCUAUUGCUUCAUCAGAGAAUCUCUGAAAAUCUUUUUGUUUGGUAGAAAUUUCGUACGUUAUUUGCAAAAUUGAACUGCCCUUCGACGUUUCUAAAGUCAAAAGAGGCACGCAAAUUGACACUGUCAGUUCUCAAACCCUUCUCGAUACCCCUCCCCCCUCCCCCGCCCCCUUUGUAUGUUUCAAAGCGUUGCUUGGGGCUACCUAAGGGCUUAUUGUUCUCUUGGUGCUCUUUAUUCUCUUGGGGCUCUUUUUUAUGUAACACAAAUCUCCCCAAAGGACUCUAGAAGGAAAAUACUGUGCAUUACCCCCUGAUUUGUCGCCGCAUUUCAAAAGAUCCAAUCUCUAUUCUACCAAAACUAUUUCCACACGAUAACGAACGAUAACAAACAAUGUCUGCAUAACCGUCAACUAAUGUUGUCCUACAAACUUGGAUCCUUCUCGGCCGCGUGAUUUUUCUCGUUAUGUUUGUUUUGUCGAGCUAUGCAGAUGAUGUCCAAUGUAGGCAUGCAAAGAGAAACUUGCUGUUUAAUCUGUGACUUGCGUAUUGGAGUGAUUGUUUUAGCAAUAACAGGCAUGAUUGAAAGUGGUCAGCAGAUUCUUGUCUCCUUCGCACUGGCCGUAUCCCAUUCCCCAAAAUUCUCGGAAUUUCCAAGCAGCAAUGUCGCACUUCUUCAUGUAUAUACGGUGUUCCAAAUUGUUUCCUUCAUAUCAAUAUUAUUCGGACUCUUCAGCGUCGUCUCACAGGGCAGGAUGUACAGAAGAGCGCUGUUAUUAUGGAUCAUCUCAACAGUCCUCAUUUCUGGUAUCCAAAUUAUCUAUUUGUUUUACGUUGUUGCUUAUUUCAACAGAAAGGUAUUCUCGCUAAUUGCCCUAACUUUUGUGUUAUGCUUCGUGCCAAAAAACGCCUUUUUCUCGUUUGUCGUUUAUAAGUAUUACAAACUGGUCCUUUAUGGAUUCAUCUCGCCGGACUACGACGAGCUUGAUUUUUCAAAGGAGACUAUCAGAAGGUCACGUGCAGGCAGCUCGAGGCGCGAAUCACUGCUCACUCUAAAAGAUGGACCAUGCACUGGGUUAGUGGACACCUAUUUAAGGCCGGAGAUAGAGUCAAAAUCCGGAAGAAAAGUGUCAAACUUUAUCUUGAAAGUAAUUCCAGAGCUUUCAGAAAGUAAGGAUAAUUCGUCGGAAAGUAACGAAACACCACACGAAAUAUUUGAGAUGCCGCAUCAAGUAUAAAGAUGAUGAGAACAGAAACCUGAAGUGAAUUGGCCAAUUAGAAGAUAUUGUUGAGAACAUGAGAUUCUUGCAAUUAAUUAGAUUUGCGACGUUUUAUCUCUAGUGUGCUGGCUGGCUGUUUAAGAAGCGAUUCAGAGUCGGUUGCUGACCUCCGGUUUUGGUUGGCCUAAACAAUUCCGAGGUGUACGGUCGUACGUAUAAAAAUGCCUCAUUGUAAAGGAAUGUGGUUGCUCACACAUUUAAAGGUCUGAAAAGUUCUUUACCACAAUUUCAAAAACUAUUGAGUUUUCUGAAACCAUAAACAAAGCAUUUAACCUGAAUAGAAAUGGGCAGCUAAUUGCGGGUGAGGAUCCCUGCAUAAAGUUCGUUGACUAACCCUCAUUGGGCGCCAUCAAAGAGACGCAAACAAAACAAUUUCGGUAUAUGAUGAUAUAUUCACAGUGCAUAGUAUAUCUGUAAUAUGCAAUUUACAAUGUACAUAGCAUCUUGUGUCUUCUUAUAUUCUAGGUGCUUUAAAUUCCAUUGAUAUUGAUACAAUAAAUAGCG